RNAcentral lists this ribosomal RNA (274 nucleotides) under uncultured bacterium. RNAcentral describes it as "partial 16S ribosomal RNA". It matches the Rfam family "Bacterial small subunit ribosomal RNA", at positions 523 to 796 of the family's 1533-position model. The record is from RNAcentral.
AUACGGGGGGAGCAAGCGUUGUUCGGAAUAACUGGGCGUAAAGCGCACGUAGGCGGAAUGUUAAGUUAGAGGUGAAAUCCCAGGGCUCAACCCUGGAACUGCCUUUAAUACUGGCAAUCUAGAGACCGAGAGAGGUGAGUGGAAUUCCGAGUGUAGAGGUGAAAUUCGUAGAUAUUCGGAGGAACACCAGUGGCGAAGGCGGCUCACUGGCUCGGUACUGACGCUGAGGUGCGAAAGCGUGGGGAGCAAACAGGAUUAGAUACCCUAGUAGUCC